UUAAAUUGAAGAGUUUGAUCAUGGCUCAGAUUGAACGCUGGCGGCAGGCCUAACACAUGCAAGUCGAACGGUAACAGGAAGCAGCUUGCUGCUUUGCUGACGAGUGGCGGACGGGUGAGUAAUGUCUGGGAAACUGCCUGAUGGAGGGGGAUAACUACUGGAAACGGUAGCUAAUACCGCAUAACGUCGCAAGACCAAAGAGGGGGACCUUCGGGCCUCUUGCCAUCGGAUGUGCCCAGAUGGGAUUAGCUAGUAGGUGGGGUAACGGCUCACCUAGGCGACGAUCCCUAGCUGGUCUGAGAGGAUGACCAGCCACACUGGAACUGAGACACGGUCCAGACUC
Molecule: ribosomal RNA, 343 nt
Filed under: Escherichia coli
Lineage: Bacteria; Pseudomonadati; Pseudomonadota; Gammaproteobacteria; Enterobacterales; Enterobacteriaceae
Description: bacterial SSU rRNA
Rfam family: Bacterial small subunit ribosomal RNA
Source: RNAcentral